This 319-nucleotide ribosomal RNA is filed under the name uncultured eukaryote. RNAcentral describes it as "partial 18S ribosomal RNA". It matches the Rfam family "Eukaryotic small subunit ribosomal RNA", at positions 1470 to 1796 of the family's 1831-position model. The record is from RNAcentral.
CCCUUAGAUGUUCUGGGCCGCACGCGCGCUACAAUGGUCUUCGCAAACGGAUGCAUUCUCGAAGGAGAAUGCCAAUCUUGGAAUCUAUGCCUUGGUCGGGACAGUUGCUUGCAAUUUUUCGACUCGAACCAGGAAUUCCUUGUAAUCGUGAUUCAUCACAUCACGAUGAAUACGUCCCUGCCCUUUGUACACACCGCCCGUCGCUCCUACCGAUCGAAGAGUUAGGUGAAUUGUUUUGAUCGAUAAGAUUUGACCAUGGUCAACUCUCGUUGUGAAAUUCUGUGAAUCUGACUGUUUAGAGGAAGGAAAAGUCGUAACA